CCGAGGUAAAGGUAUCGCGCCUUAGUCAGAGGCCACCAGAGUUGGGUGUAUAUUUUGUUAGUAGUUACCCUUUACCAUCUUUUGUACUUGAUGAUUAGUAAUGUAAAGAAAAGAAUAUAAAGCACCAUUUUGAGGUAAAUGUGAUGUAAGAAAGACAUGGUGAAAUGACGUAAUGAAUGUAAGGAAUCGAAAAUGUACAAGUUGGAUGUAAUGUAUAUGAUCUAAAUUGAAUCAUUAGUACAAAAGUGAAUGCUAGUCUUGUCACGUCCCGCUUUCGCCAAUUUGGUCGAUCCGGGCACGUACACAGACGCCAAACGGACAGAACCUCCUCUGUCUGCCCAAGACUCAACAACAACAAGUACAUGUAUAAAGAAAUAAACAAUUCCCAGGAUAACAUUUCAAUAUACAUGGCUUGCACGAGGGCAAGCAACAAUCACAAGUGAUAGUAAGCUAGCUAUACUGAAAAUUCACUGUAAUUUAAAACUUUCAAACUAAACUUUACAUAACUGAAUAUGAAAACAUUUAGUUAUUUACAUGCUUUAUAAUACAUUCAUUUACAUGUCUCUGUACAUCAAAAUGUGUAACAUGAAACCAAAAUGGUAAACUACUAAACUCUGGUGUCAGCUAGCUAAACUGCGGGGCUCUUGCCACGAUCC
RNAcentral lists this long non-coding RNA (656 nucleotides) under Ananas comosus (pineapple). RNAcentral's name for it is "long non-coding RNA (ACOM_LNC028056)". Lineage: Eukaryota; Viridiplantae; Streptophyta; Magnoliopsida; Poales; Bromeliaceae. The record is from RNAcentral.